GGCCGGUUAGCUCAGUUGGUUAGAGCAUGGUGCUAUUUACGCUGAGGUCACAGGUUCAAACCCCGUCCUGGCCA
Molecule: non-coding RNA, 74 nt
Organism: Gadus macrocephalus (Pacific cod)
Lineage: Eukaryota; Metazoa; Chordata; Actinopteri; Gadiformes; Gadidae
Source: the annotation of a RefSeq genome assembly